Molecule: ribosomal RNA, 253 nt
Filed under: uncultured bacterium
Lineage: Bacteria
Description: partial 16S ribosomal RNA
Rfam family: Bacterial small subunit ribosomal RNA
Source: RNAcentral
UACAGAGGGGGCAAGCGUUGUUCGGAAUUACUGGGCGUAAAGGGUGCGUAGGCGGCCUGCUAAGUCGAACGUGAAAUCCCUGGGCUCAACCCAGGAACUGCGUCCGAUACUGGUUGGCUUGAAUCCGGGAGAGGGAUGUGGAAUUCCAGGUGUAGCGGUGAAAUGCGUAGAUAUCUGGAGGAACACCGGUGGCGAAGGCGACAUCCUGGACCGGUAUUGACGCUGAGGCGCGAAAGCCAGGGGAGCAAACGGG